AUUUUUAAUGUUUAUUUUCCAUUUUAGGGGUGUGGGGCGGUUUGGGGGUUCCUAAGGGUGCGGGGGUGACAUUGGUGGUGGUGUUGGGGGUUGAGUCUGUCUCAGGUGGCACUGCUGCCCCUUUGCUGCCCGUUUCGUGGCACUCACAGCUGGGGAAGGAGGGGAAAGGACGGCGAGGAAAAGAGUAGCAAUAAUAAUAAUAAUAAUAGUGAAGAGGAUGGAGCGAGAGGAGGGGAAAAAUAGGACGGGAGAAGGAGAAGAAGGGAAAAAAAGGGGAAAAAGGAGGGAGGAAAAAGCAAAGCAAUGGCGCGGACUGCCCCGAGCCGCCGUCCUUUGCUCGACGCCUCGGCCGGAGAGGAUCCUGAAAGCAACUUGAAUGAAGUUGGGGGUAAACGGGAAAGGAGGGUUCAUGGAGAGGCCAAGCCCCGGGUGCCCGCGGCCCCAUGGAGGCAUCGCGCUGACCCCGAGCCCUUCUGACCCUCUGCCUUCUCCCAACGUGUUCCUCUGUGUCUGCGCUGCGGAGCGGCUUUGUGGGGUUUGGCCCCAGAGAGGGUGAUGGGGGGGUGGAGGGUGAGGUGGAGGCCAAAGUUCUGUCCCUCUUUUCCUCCAGAGAUGCUCUCUGCCUUCAGGCUGUCCCCCGGAGCUCCCAGCCACGUAAGUAAGGAAUAAACAGCAGGAAUAAUAAUCAUUCAUUAAUAAUAAUAAUGAUAAUUAUUAUAAGGAUCGGAACACGU
RNAcentral lists this long non-coding RNA (734 nucleotides) under Gallus gallus (chicken). Lineage: Eukaryota; Metazoa; Chordata; Aves; Galliformes; Phasianidae. The record is from RNAcentral.